Molecule: RNA transcript, 5187 nt
Organism: Lucilia sericata (common green bottle fly)
Lineage: Eukaryota; Metazoa; Arthropoda; Insecta; Diptera; Calliphoridae
Gene name: flocculation protein FLO11
Exons: 9
Source: RefSeq, a predicted model, not a curated record
UCUCUAAAUUAAUAAACAUACUGGCAUCACUAUAAAUAUGGCGUCGAAAAUAAGUUGCAAGAGAUUUUUUUAAUUACUGCAUUUAUAUCGAAAUUUUAAUAAAAAAGUUAUAGUUUCAUAUGUAAAUAUUAUAAAAAAGUGAACAAAUAAAAUAUUGUUUAAAUAAUUACUAAAGUUAUAUUAAAGAAAAUUGGAAAUUAUAGUAGAUAUGGAGAAAAAAGGAAAGGAAAAAUGUUAACAUUUCGCAAAUUGCAAUAAACGAAUGAAUAGCUCAAGGACCCAAAAGUCAAAAACAGAAAAUACUGCGGCAACAAAAAAAAAAAAACGACAGCAACAAAAAAAAAAAAAGAAAGAAUAAAACAACUUUUUACCAAGACAAAGCGGCUGCGAAAGAUGGAAAAGAAAGGCACUUAAAAAAUCCAAGGCAGGUGUACGACGGCGACGUUGGCGCUACGAAAUUAACUAGAAUUAAUUAGUUAAAAAAUAGAAAAAAUUACACUACACACACUUACAAGCAGCGAAUCAAUUAACAAAAGAAAAACAAAAUUAGUGUCAUUUUAAUAACAAGUCAAUUGAAAUGAUCUAGUAAUUCCAAUAAGAAAACACGCAGAGUUGAAAAUAAAUGCAAUAAAUAAAUAUAACCCACUAGAAAGUUAAUAACACUUAUAACAUGAGCUCUUCCAUUGUGACAGCUAAUACUACUGCACCUGUAUCUGCCAUGGCUACUGCGGCUACAAAUUUAAUAGCUUCAUUGCCAGGUUCCCGUCCACAAACACAACAGCCAACCCCCACUGUAGCUGGAGCUAUUAUGCCAGCUAUGAAUGCACAAUUUCGUGAAAUUCACAAAAACACCUGGCUCAAACGUUUAACGGCAGAGGGCAAAAAGGUCUGUGUUGGGCCAAAAAAAUCUGAACGCAGUUGGGUUGUAUUUUGUGUACACGAUGAUACUGAAGCACUAUUGGAAGGUUACGCUGAACCGAGACAGGCUCCAUCACACAAUCCCGAAUGGAUUGUAUCCAUGCAGGAUACAUUACAUAUUUCUCACGCACUAAUUCCAAAUUCACAUGAAUUCGAAUUUGUUGUCACGCUCAGCAAUGAAGUGGUGCGUUUUCACGCUAUGUCAUGGGAUAUUAUGCAAGAAUGGGUCGAAACAUUACGGUCAAAAUUAAGAGAAAUGAAAAUACUUUCACCUCGUGAAAAUCUCUAUACAAAAUUACCAGAAGUAAGGGCUCCCCUAUUGCCAACAAGAGAUCCCACAUCCCCAUUACCAGCACCACCACCGGUGCCUGCAGCCAUAGUACCCGGUGUUGAAAGAGUUAUACCUCCUAGUGUUCAGCAGCAACAGUCCACAACAGCAUUGGAAACAAAUGAAACAAGGAAUUCUCUCAACAAUACAGCCACAUCUUCUUCUCCUAUAACAAGUGAAUCCAAUAGCAUGGAAACAACAACAACCCAAGCCACUUCUUCUACGGCAGCUAAUACAACUAUACAAACAUCAUCAUCUUCAACUACCACUUCAAAUAUAACAGCAGCUGUGCCGCAUUUAACUUCUAUGUCAAAUACUCUAACACAAAAUCUUUUAAAUAUGCUAUCGGAUCCCAUUAGUGCUUAUAGUGAACAAUUAAAUGAUGCUAAUUCCUCUUCAUCCUCUAUAGAACCAGAUGAUAUGGUUACAGGUUCAUCGACUCUAUCUUUGGCCAUGGAACGUGAUUUUAAUUUUAGUGAUUGUUCAACGGAGGAGGAAUUUAUAGGUCCAUUAUUACGAAAACCCAGUGCAAAUACCAGUGAUAUUAAUGGAAGUUUUACUAACAACAGUGUACGCUUAGAUGUUUUAGCGGCACAUCGCGCUUCUGCAGAUCAAAUAAGAAAUUUAGAAAAUAUAUUACAGUGUGAACGUUAUAUACCAAGACCACAAACAUCUCGCUCCCUAUCCGCUGGAGCUGUAGACAAAUCUAAAAGACAAAAUAUUAAUCAAAAAGUUGAAGCUAGUAGUAAAUUAUCAUCCCUAAUGGUUGCCAAUACUAGUAGUAAGGGAAAUAACAUAACAGAAUUAGAAGUUAAUUCGGAAAUUUCAACACCAUCAUCAACAUCCAAUGAUAACUCCUCGAAUACGAAUAUUACAAUAAUACAAGUAUCAACAGAAAAUCGAAACGAUAAGACAACGGCAACCAGUGCUGGAGAAAAUAAUUAUGAACCACCAAAAUUGCCACAUAAAACAAUAACGUCAACCGGAGCGACAGCAGAUAUAUUUAAAUUUCCCGAUGCCCAUGUAUCAAUCACAAAAAAUAUAAAACAUCAUGAAUACAAAAGUAAUGUACAAAUAAUUCCGUCCAGUAGUAAUAAAAGUAACAGUAGUACCAGCAGUAGUAGUAGCAAUAGUAAUCACAAUCACAACAAUAGCAGUACUAUACAAGUAAUGGGCAAUUCCACCACAAUGGUGGGUGGUAAUCAAUAUACAACUCCAGUUAAAAAAUCACAAACAUCAGCAGCUGCCAGUGUUGCUUCAACAACAAUAGAUGAGCAUAGCAAAAUAACAACAGUACAUGUAGCUGGUACUGAUAACACAUAUGGUACAUGCUUCACACCGCCCUCAUCAUCUGCCUCGACAUCACUUACGUCCACACCUAAAAUGCCUAAAAAAAUUAUAUUAUCAGCUAAUACGUCCGGAAUAACAAAUAUUACAGUGAAUAACACAACAACCAGUGAAGAAAUGUCCGCAGCAGUGUUAAGAAAAAAUUCCAUUGGUGGGAAAUUAGAAAAUGAAUUUGGCAUUUCGAGCGCUAACUCGAAUUCACCGAAUUUAAAUAAAAAUAAUGGACUACAUUAUGAAAAGGUAUUCCUUUCAACUACAGCUACUAUAAGCGCAGCUGAUGCCUCUGGUAGUGUACAGCCCACAUCAUCAUCUCAAAAUAUUACACCAUUAUCACCGAAAUGGAGUUCACCACUUCACCGAAAUUCAAAACAACGUACUAAAGAGGAAGCAACAGCAUUACCAUUGGGAAAAUCUUUAGCCACUUCAAAUGGUGUGGACAAAAAAGUAAAACUACAAAAUUCAACAACUAAACAACACAGUGGCGAACAGGGGCAUAAAUCGCCCACACAAAUGCCGCUGCAUACAGCUGAUCAGCCGAUGUCUUCUAUCAAUAUGGGCAGUCCAGCUAUGGCUAGAAGAAGAUUUGUUUCUCCUACCAACAGCAGACCCAUACCAACUGCUGCACCCAGACCUCCAUUUAUACUAACGAGAGGACUAACAGAAGCUGUCAUAACUAGUAGACCUAGUCGAAAAGAUUUCCAUUUCCUUAAUAAACUGUCUGUGGCAAAAACGAAAUCCUCAAAUACUAAUGCUAAUUGUAGUAAGUCAUCUAAUACGGCCAAUAAUAAUGAUAAUGGUUCUGGUUCUUCCGCAUCUACAUCAACAACACCCUCACAUUUAGCCGUAAAUCGUACAACAUCUGAAGCCUUAGAACAGCGCAGGCGUAGUUCGUCAACUUCAGAUGCUCAGUCACAACGUCAUACUCGCGGUACUAAUAACAAUGAUCCCUCUAAUCGUGCUAACGUUGGAAGUAGUGGUGGAGGAGGAGGACCUUUACGUCAACCACCACAGCCUUUUCGUUUAGCGGAAAAUAUUCUUGGUGUUAGUUCUAGUCCAGGUAAUACUACAUCACCGGCCAAACGUAUGACUUUAAGGGAACAACAAGUAAUGCAAUUGCGACGUGAAAUAAUGCAUCCUGGUGGUGUUCGUUUGCAAUUAAGGCGUAAAGAUUGUGUAGGUUCUAUUGCUUGGGUAGAUGCUUUUGGUGCUGUGUGGGUGGCUGGUUGGAAGCAAAAAGAACAUCCUGUUUUAUAUAAUGCCUUACAUAUAGGCGAUCAAUUGCUGUCAAUAGCUGGUGUAACAAUAAGUUCAGCAACAGAAGCUAAUAAAAUUAUACGCAAUACCAAUACACUAUUUGUCGAGGUCUUAGUACGACGCAUACCAUUUGGCCGUGGCUACGCUAUACGGCGCGAAAGAGAAGGUCAAUGUUUAGGUUUAAUACGUGAUGGUAAUACAUCUACAAUAGUUGAUGUAGUACCAAACAGUUUAGCAGCUAGACAUGGUCUACCUCCUAAGGCCCAGUCAUGUGAUGGUACUACUUUAACAUUUUGGGUACUCACAGAAAUAAAUGGCCGUCCAUUAAAUUUAUUUUUUAAAGAUAAUGAAAUACGCGAUCGCUUAAAUUCGGUUGGUCGUGAUAUUUCCAUAUUGGUGCAGCCGUCAGAUUUAAUAACAAAACUUAAGAAACAACUUAAAUCAUUACGCGGCUAUAAGGAUUAUUUGGUGCAAUAACCCUAAAUUAAUUAAUAACUUGUAAAGCAAACAAAACAGAAGCUAAAAGCAUUCACAUUUUAAGACACAAUCUCUCAUUGAUAUCUCUAUUUCAUCGGGUAUCAACAUCGGCGAAAUAAUUUCCAAAAAAACACCUAAUGUUUGGCCACCACAACGCCGGAGCUAACUAUCUCUGUGGCAGACAUGUGUUUGUUGAGUUUAGAGGUCAAAAAUCAAAAUAUUACAAGAUAAAAAUGGGCUUGUCUUGAGAAGGAGUACUAUAACCUUUACUUUUCAAUCUAUAACUUGCCAAGCUUCCUAAACUCCCCACAGAUGUCUCUUUGGACAAAGAGACGAUUGUAGCCAUGUAUAAGGCAAUUGGUCGCUCUCUUCUCAAUUAUGCUGCCCCAUUCGCAACCGAAUGUGUCAAGAUGACUAACGUAAAUCAUUUACAUGGUGGGACCAGGUUAUUGUCAGCCAGACAGACCCUAACCAUCAGGUUCUGAUGCAAUAUAUCCUUCCCAGACACAUAGGAUGGACAUUCGAUGCUUUCGCAUCGACUUCGAAGACAUACCAUUGAACGUUGACAGGCAAAGAAGAAUUAGGAUGUUGGAGAAAAGGUGAGUGACAGCAUAAGUUAUAUAUCACCAAAUAAUGUUUAUCUGGUGUACAGAGAGGUAGUUCAAAAGAUUCAGCAGAAUAUCGCAUUAGGUAAAACUCAAGACACUCCGAAGGGUAUAUCGUAUAUAUCUCUAUAUUUUCAUUCCUAGAACAUCAAGUUUACUGAUCACUCAAUUACACUUCGUUUUAAAAAGUAGUGAAUGGGUAUGAGAAACCCGGAAACCCCCUUUAUCAAAGAAUUCGGUGUUGAACAUUUGUUGCAU